Cherax quadricarinatus is the source of this 570-nucleotide non-coding RNA. Lineage: Eukaryota; Metazoa; Arthropoda; Malacostraca; Decapoda; Parastacidae. The record is from RefSeq and is a predicted model, not a curated record.
GAUAAUACAAUUAGAAGAGCAAUUGAUUUUAAGAUCCAAGGGGAACAUGUCGAGGCUUCUCAUGGUAGUCCACACAGCAGUAGUGCUGCUGUUAUUACCUGUUAACUUCAGCGAUGCUGCACAACAAACUACUCAGAAAAAAAGUGUUGGAGUCGAUAAAAGAUCAGUUUUACCCUCAUCCAGACAUCGCUUGAUAGGCUGAUGGAUUUAGUUAUCCAUUCAGUCACCAGCCCGUCUAGUGAGGCAACUUACUGCAGCUGUAGGAAAUGUCACAGCUACGACAGACACACUGUCAUCAAUUACUGCAGCUACAGGAAAUGCCACAGCUACAACAGACGCACAGACAUCAACCACCACGCCAUCUACAACACAGACAUCAACCACCACACCAUCUACAACACAGACAUCAACCACAACACCAUCUACAACACAGACAUCAACCAGCACAUCAUCUACAACACAGACAUCAACCACCACAUCAUCUACAACACAGACAUCAACCACCACACCAUCUACAACACAGACAUCAACCACCACACCAUCUACAACACAGACAUCACACCACACAAC